This 406-nucleotide long non-coding RNA is filed under the name Rosa chinensis. RNAcentral describes it as "sRNA RchiOBHm_Chr2g0168571". The record is from RNAcentral. Lineage: Eukaryota; Viridiplantae; Streptophyta; Magnoliopsida; Rosales; Rosaceae.
GAGACAAGAUCAGUAAUGCGAGCAUUAAUCUCUAAUAUGGAACUUUUUGUUGGCAUUAAUUGAGUAAAUAGUGAUUGUUGCCUUCAUUCUCAAAUCAUGGUCGAAUUGUCAACUCUAUGAACUGUAGCAUACCCUUUAAUAGCUUCUUAGAAGAGUUGGAACAAAAUGCAGAAAUGUAUUUAAGAGCUUUGUUAGCUUGAGUUGUUCGGACAUGGAAAAGUAAACAAAAAAUAAAGGGGAUUAACUAGACCUGAUGACAUUCUUUUUCUUAUGAUGCACUUCAUUUUGAAGUUGAUACUUUAGUUGGUGAGACAAUUAAAAGUUUGAAUAACCUUUUGAGUUUCUUAUACUUCUUUAGUAUGAUGAGUCCUGAUCUUUGUUCUGAUUUUCUUUUUUUAAGUAAUGG